CAGCGCCGCUCUUCUUCUUCCACUCAACUCUCUUGUGGUUUCUCAAGAAUACCCACACAAGAACGCACACACGCACUCAACUCUCAACACACAAGAACACACACACGCAUGGACCAAGGAGGAGCACCGAUGCUUUGCCGAGAGGCUCUCUCCCUGGUAACACAUUGACUACAUCUUUUCCACAGCCCUCACUCGGCUUGUCUUUUCAUUAACUCAAUGCAACACAUAUUUAUACACAAGUCUCGGCAACCAUGCCAUCUAAUCCGACGCCACCACUUUUGACCCACUAACAGCACGUACGCACGGCCGAGCUAACUAACCCUGAAAUCACUCCGCGCUUCUUCGGCCAGCUAACAACUUAGCCAUGCAGACACACAUGCAGCACUACCCUAACCAACAAUACAUGCACCUAACUAACACUAGUGGCUUUGCAUGCAUACACGUGUUCACGUCUCUACAUAUGUACACAGCCGCAACUUAUAGUGUCACGUCUCAAC
RNAcentral lists this long non-coding RNA (497 nucleotides) under Hordeum vulgare. RNAcentral's name for it is "long non-coding RNA (HVUL_LNC016610)". The record is from RNAcentral. Lineage: Eukaryota; Viridiplantae; Streptophyta; Magnoliopsida; Poales; Poaceae.